AUGAUGGAUGCCAACCAGCGCUGGGAUGUGCCUGAGGCAGUGGAGUGGAUGUCCAAGCUGGCCAAGUUCAAGCCAUUGUGGAUUGAGGAGCCAACCUCCCCUGAUGACAUUCUGGGGCACGCCACCAUUUCCAAGGGUGUGUGAGUAUGUUGACCACCUGCAUGAGCAUUUCAAGUAUCCUGUGAUGAUCCAGCGGGCUUCCUACAUGCCUCCCAAGGAUCCCGGCUACUCAACAGAAAUGAAGGAGGAAUCUGUAAAGAAACACCAGUAUCCAGAUGGUGAAGUUUGGAAGAAACUCCUUCCUGCUCAAGAAAAUUAAUUAAGUGCUCAGCCCCAACAACUUUUUUCUUUCUGAAGUGAAAAGGCUUAAAAUUUCUUGGAAAUAGUUUUACAAAAAUGGAUUAAAAAAAUCCUACCGAUCAAGAUUAGUUCAGCUAAAAGUCAUAC
RNAcentral lists this small RNA (447 nucleotides) under Pan troglodytes (chimpanzee). Its description in RNAcentral is "processed transcript". The record is from RNAcentral. Lineage: Eukaryota; Metazoa; Chordata; Mammalia; Primates; Hominidae.